CGCCUCUUGACCUACAUAAGAGGUCCAGCCUGCCCAGUGACUCUGUUCAACGGCCGCGGUAUCCUAACCGUGCGAAGGUAGCGUAAUCACUUGUUCUUUAAUUGUGGACUAGUAUGAAUGGCACCACGAGGGUUAUACUGUCUCCUCUUUCUAAUCAGUGAAACUAAUCUCCCCGUGAAGAAGCGGGGAUCUAACUAUAAGACGAGAAGACCCUAUGGAGCUUAAAACAUUCUGGCAGUUACCGCACAGCACUUAAUUUCCUGAACACUUACUUUUAAGGUAACAUGACUGCAAGUUUUUGGUUGGGGUGACCGCGGAGUAUAAAGUAACCUCCAUAUUGAAAGAAAUAUUUCUAAGCCAAGACCCACGCGUCUAAGCAUCAACACACUGACAUCCAUUGACCCGAUAUAAUUGAGCAACGAACCAAGUUACCCUAGGGAUAACAGCGCAAUCCACUUUAAGAGCCCCUAUCGCCAAGUGGGUUUACGACCUCGAUGUUGGAUCAGGGUGUCCCAGUGGUGCAGCCGCUACUAAAGGUUCGUUUGUUCAACGAUUAAAACCCU
RNAcentral lists this ribosomal RNA (563 nucleotides) under Sclerophrys funerea. RNAcentral describes it as "partial 16S ribosomal RNA". It matches the Rfam family "Bacterial large subunit ribosomal RNA", at positions 1819 to 2597 of the family's 2925-position model. Lineage: Eukaryota; Metazoa; Chordata; Amphibia; Anura; Bufonidae. The record is from RNAcentral.